UUUAUCCCCAGCAGCCAGGACCUUACUAGCCUGGGAGGUGUUCAAGUGAGGAAACAAGCGUUUCCGACUCCUUUAUGGACAUGGCAGAGAUGAGAACCAGCGAGACACACACAGGGGAGCCCGUCACGGAUGGACAACGGUGGAGAGAAGCUUCAGGGGUCCCUGGCCCCAGGACGCUACUGAGCCCAAAGACGAAGUUGUUGGCGGUCAGCCUCUCUUCCUGAUUUUGGGGAAGCCUCAACUCGCCCAGGAGGAAGUCCCAGUUUCCUUCUGGCUUCACUCCCCAGGGGGCCAGUCAGGGGGACGUCAGUAUCCUCUUCCCGUUCACUGCGAGCAGCCAUUUCUUCCAUCAUGGUCCGAAGCGCUGACUGACAGGAGCUGCUAAGAAGCUACAAAAGGAUCCCAGAGGAAAAUACCCAGGAAAUGAGA
Molecule: long non-coding RNA, 429 nt
Organism: Hipposideros armiger (great roundleaf bat)
Lineage: Eukaryota; Metazoa; Chordata; Mammalia; Chiroptera; Hipposideridae
Exons: 3
Source: RefSeq, a predicted model, not a curated record